GUGGGUGUAGCUCAGCUGGCAGAGCACCUGGUUGUGGUCCAGGUUGUCGCGGGUUCAAAUCCCGUCACUCACCCCA
RNAcentral lists this transfer RNA (76 nucleotides) under Thermobifida alba. RNAcentral describes it as "tRNA-His". It matches the Rfam family "tRNA". Rfam says of the family: Transfer RNA (tRNA) molecules are approximately 80 nucleotides in length. Their secondary structure includes four short double-helical elements and three loops (D, anti-codon, and T loops). The record is from RNAcentral. Lineage: Bacteria; Bacillati; Actinomycetota; Actinomycetes; Streptosporangiales; Nocardiopsidaceae.